This 52-nucleotide ribosomal RNA is filed under the name Menispermum canadense. RNAcentral's name for it is "partial 28S ribosomal RNA". The record is from RNAcentral. Lineage: Eukaryota; Viridiplantae; Streptophyta; Magnoliopsida; Ranunculales; Menispermaceae.
AGGUCAGGCGGGGCCACCCGCUGAGUUUAAGCAUAUCAAUAAGCGGAAGGAA